UAGGGUGAAAUCUAUUAGGGUAUUUCAUUUACGAUGAAAAUGAGUUUUUAACCACUCUAA
Molecule: transfer RNA, 60 nt
Filed under: Ornithodoros tartakovskyi
Lineage: Eukaryota; Metazoa; Arthropoda; Arachnida; Ixodida; Argasidae
Description: tRNA-Val
Source: RNAcentral